UCCGAUAUGGUGUAACGGCUAACAUUAUCGCCUUUCACGCGAUAGCUCGGGGUUCGAUUCCCCGUAUCGGAG
Transfer RNA from Phlebiopsis gigantea 11061_1 CR5-6, 72 nucleotides. It matches the Rfam family "tRNA". From Rfam's summary of the family: Transfer RNA (tRNA) molecules are approximately 80 nucleotides in length. Their secondary structure includes four short double-helical elements and three loops (D, anti-codon, and T loops). Further hydrogen bonds mediate the characteristic L-shaped molecular structure. tRNAs have two regions of fundamental functional importance: the anti-codon, which is responsible for specific mRNA codon recognition, and the 3' end, to which the tRNAs corresponding amino acid is attached (by aminoacyl-tRNA synthetases). tRNAs cope with the degeneracy of the genetic code in two manners: having more than one tRNA (with a specific anti-codon) for a particular amino acid; and 'wobble' base-pairing, i.e. permitting non-standard base-pairing at the 3rd anti-codon position. NCBI's taxonomy places the organism in Eukaryota, Fungi, Basidiomycota, Agaricomycetes, Polyporales, Phanerochaetaceae. The record is from Rfam.